AGCUUCAUGGCGCAGUGGGAGCGCGCCAGGACCUUAAUUGGGACCCGGAGGACCUCCGAUCGAAACGGAGUGGAGCUU
This is a non-coding RNA of Hypoxylon fuscum, 78 nucleotides long. The record is from the annotation of a GenBank genome assembly. NCBI's taxonomy places the organism in Eukaryota, Fungi, Ascomycota, Sordariomycetes, Xylariales, Hypoxylaceae.